AGUAAAGAAAAAUCAAAUAAAUGGUGAGAUUAUGGAAGUAAAUAUUCUCGCAUUUAUUGCUACUGCACUGUUCA
Molecule: transfer RNA, 74 nt
Filed under: Monimopetalum chinense
Lineage: Eukaryota; Viridiplantae; Streptophyta; Magnoliopsida; Celastrales; Celastraceae
Description: tRNA-Asp
Source: RNAcentral